Molecule: ribosomal RNA, 430 nt
Filed under: uncultured bacterium
Lineage: Bacteria
Description: bacterial SSU rRNA
Rfam family: Bacterial small subunit ribosomal RNA
Source: RNAcentral
GUGGGGAAUCUUGCGCAAUGGGCGAAAGCCUGACGCAGCGACGCCGCGUGGGGGAUGAAGGCCUUCGGGUUGUAAACCCCUUUCGACAGGGAAGAAGCGAAAGUGACGGUACCUGUAGAAGAAGUCCCGGCUAACUACGUGCCAGCAGCCGCGGUAAGACGUAGGGGACGAGCGUUGUCCGGAUUUAUUGGGCGUAAAGCGCACGCAGGCGGCUUGGUAAGUCGGGUGUGAAAAUCCGAGGCUCAACCUCGGACGUGCACCCGAAACUGCCCGGCUAGAGGUAGGUAGGGGAGAUCGGAAUUCCUGGUGUAGCGGUGAAAUGCGCAGAUAUCAGGAGGAACACCGGUGGCGAAGGCGGAUCUCUGGGCCUUACCUGACGCUCAUGUGCGAAAGCUAGGGGAGCGAACAGGAUUAGAUACCCCUGUAGUCC